RNAcentral lists this ribosomal RNA (730 nucleotides) under Megophrys huangshanensis (Huangshan horned toad). Its description in RNAcentral is "partial 12S rRNA'". It matches the Rfam family "Bacterial small subunit ribosomal RNA", at positions 284 to 1398 of the family's 1533-position model. Lineage: Eukaryota; Metazoa; Chordata; Amphibia; Anura; Megophryidae. The record is from RNAcentral.
AAAGAGAAUGAGGAGCCGGUAUCAGGCUCAAUACGCCCAUGACACCUAGCCCCGCCACACCCCCAAGGGUAUUCAGCAGUGAUCAACAUUGAAAACUAGCGAAAGCUAGAUUCAGUUACUAGCUAAAAAAACCGGUCAAUCUCGUGCCAGCCACCGCGGUUAUACGGGCAGGUUUAAAUUGAUGACAUCGGCACAAAGCGUGGUUAAAUUCUUACCUUAAUAAAGCAAAAAAAAAGCCCGGCUGUGACAUGCUUUCGCUUUUAAUAACCUCAAUCACGAAAGUAGCUUUAACUAUUAUUGAACCCACGAUCGCUAGGGCACAAACUGGGAUUAGAUACCCCACUAUGCCUAGCCCUAAACUUUGACUACUCCGCCUGGGAACUACGAGCGUUAGCUUAAAACCCAAAAGACUUGGCGGUGCCCUAUACCACCUAGAGGAGCCUGUUCUAUAAUCGAUAAUCCCCGAUUCACCUCACCACCUCUUGCCAAUACCGCCUGUAUACCUCCGUCGCCAACUGACCCCUCAAGGGGAAUAGUCGGUUUAAUGGCCUUUUUCCAGUAAGUCAGGUCAAGGUGCAGCGAAUGAGGUGGGAAGAAAUGGGCUACAUUUUCUACUAAUAGACUAUACGAAAGAUCACUAUGAAAUCUGAUUGGAAGGUGGAUUUAGCAGUAAAAAGAGACUAGAGCGCUCUUUUUAAGUUGGCUCUAGGGCGCGCACACACCGCCCGUC